GCUAAUUUUGUUAAAAAUGUGAAAAACUUUAACUAAGGUUAGAGUUAUAAAUAUAGGGCUGAAUAGGUUAGUUCACGGAGAUACCCAAAGUUAUUCUCACUUCUCUCAUUCAUCUGUCGAUUUAGUGGAGCUCUGAGCUCCUUUUUCUCCUCCAUCUUUCUGUCUCUGAGUACCUUCUCCACGCACAAAGCUCCAUUGUUCUCCUCUGUACUACAGACUAGAGCAGAUUCUCUCAACAGUUUCUAGGUUGACAUGCUAGAUUGCUCUACUAUAUGGCAUUAGGCAUUGGGUAAUGUGCAAUGGCCAAUGAGUCUGGUUUCUUUUCAGUUUACCUACAAUGAAUUUGAUCUGUUGAAUUCUUGAACAUGUUGUGUUGUAAAGUUGAAUUUUUUUGUUUCUAAUUUUCAUGCUAUUAAUAAGAUUUUUACAUUAUUGCCCCAUUAGAGACCUUUCCCCUUAUCAUGGAUGUGUCCCAAUCAGCUUCAUUUCCAUAUCAUUUCAAAAUCCAUCACAAGCCCAGAUGAGGGCUCUUAUUUUAGUGUCCAAACUACUUUUAAGAAAGAAAAAAAAUGACAUUCUCUUUUAUGCAGGAGUUUCUUUUCUUCCAUAAAAACAAUUUAUAAAUCAUAAAGUAAGCAAUACUUUAUAUGGGUAUCUUAGGGACCAACCAAGCACAUCCAAAAAAGUGUAGCAAAGUAGAAAUAAAACUACGUAUUUGCUAUUUUAUUAGGAUCUCAGUUUUAGUUUUUCAUAGAUCCUUAGAACCAUUCUUCUAUUUUUUGAACUUUUCCUUAAGGCAGAUACUAUGAUAUACAUCUUUUGAGUAUAAGCAUUUGAGUAACAAAAAAACACAAUAUUUUAUUAACUUUUUUCUUCCUAAUUUAGUCCUUAGCCGAGUAGUUUAAAGUUGGGAUUAUGUGGAUUCUUAACAAAUGUUUUAGAUAUAUAUGCUGGGUGUUUUAGAGCAUAUAUAUAGAAAGAGCCCAUAAUUCUUCAAUGUUGAGUAUACAACUGAAGCGGAUCAUGACAACUAUGAUUAGUUAUUAAGCUAUUAUCGUUAUUUCUGAACUCUAUAAAUAACUAAUACUUAAGCAAGCCCAUUCAUUAAGUGAUCUCUUUUCUCUUACCAAUCCAUUCGUCAUUUCAGAGAAAAAAUGUUUCUUAGUCCUUAUAGCUUCAUUUAUUUUCUUCUUUUUAUUCUUAUUCUCACUUCACUAGAAAACUUCACUCUUAGACUGAACUCAUUUAAUAUAUAUUCCUUUAUAUUUUGCAUGUUGUAGACACUAUGACAUUACCGUAUAUUUUCUAUAUUAGGUUUCAUUAAUCGAUAUAUGCUUUUCCAAGAGGAGUUCUCUUGUGGCUAUUUUGGCUUAAAAUCUAUUUUCUAAAAGUUGUUUGUUUUUUAUCAUCCAAACAUGUUUAUGUUUAUGUUUUUGGUUUUUUGUUUUUUUGGAUAUUGUUUUUAGAAAACAAUAACCAAACACUGUUACAUUUUGAAAGUUACAAAAAGUGUUUUCUAUUCUCAAUUUUGAAAACACAAUUUUGAAAACUGAAAACAAUGUCAUACACCUUAUAAAAUUUCCCUUUAAUGAAUAUUUUACAUGGCCAAAUUACUCCCACUAAAAUUAUACAAUUCCAAUUUAACCAGCCUUAUAUUCAAAUAUCAUUUUCUUGGCACCCAUUGCCCUCGUUCCCCAGCAGCCAUGAAACCUCCUUCACUAUAGCUACCGCACUUCUCGGACCAGGCCCUCUCCAGUCCGACAAGUGCGAUGGCUAGUGAAAUAGGUUUCAUGGCUGCUGGGGAACGAGGGCAAUGGUUGUCGGUCCUCUCCAGUCCAGGCCCUCUAAGGCUUUGGUGCUAAUUUAUUUUAGGUAAUGAUUUGUAUUUUGAUUUGAAUGUGCUCUUAGAUUUGAAAUGUUGGUAUAACUUUCUAUAUGAAAUAUAUUAGCUAGCCAUGCCUCAGAUAUAUAUAUUUAUUUACAUACGUUCCUUUCUUGUUUCUACUCGAUUUUUGGUUUCCAAUUUCUGUUUGUAUUCUUUUAUAGUUUUGGUGUUCAUAUAAUAUAUUGGAUUUUUAGUUCAAAUUAUAUUUCUGCAGUUGGAAGUUCUUUAACUACUUUUGGAUGUUUGACAUCGAAAAUUUGAAGAGUCUAAGGCAUUGAAAUAAUUAAUAUUUGAUGGCAGAUUAUUUUCUUUUUGGGUGGUUAUGAAUCUUAGUCUUGAGAGCUAAUAUUAUAGUCCUUGGCAGUUGGCACACCAUCUGUUUGAUAGAAGUUCUGAGUUAAAGUCAUUUUUCCUUUGUCUUGUCACUCUUCAUUGGUGUUGUUGCAUAUUUUGGCAAAAGAAUUUAACUAAUUUUUAUGUUAUUAUUGUGGUCACUUACCAAGUUAGGAUUCUACUUAGCAUAUAAGAAUGCUUCAUAUUUUUGCCGACUUACCAAGUGACGGAAUUUACUAAGUUAAAGCUUUGUCAGGAAGUUGACGAGUCAACUUCAUUUGAGAAAUUGUUUUCCAAGUCGGCAUGCACAAUGAAUGAAGAAGUAGAAGAAGAAUAAAAACCAGCGGAUGUUUUAGGAUUUGGAUGACCUCUCAUACUAACAGGAUGUGAAACAGAAAUGGGAAGAAGCUCGAUUCAGAGUUGAUUUUCGUGAAAAUCUUAAGGUUGGGUAUCGUAAAUUCAUGUACACCAACUUUUUGUGAUUAAGAUGAAUUUUUAUUCCCCCCUUCUCUAAUAACAUGGAAUAAUUGAAGCACCUUUGAAUUAAAUACAAGGUAGCAAGUGUUUGAUUCAUAGGUUUUUCUUGUAUUUAUAAUUUUUCUCAUCUUACUUCUUAUACAUCUUGUUAUAUAAACUUGAUUGAUAUAUUGAUUCUAUUUGUGCUUACUAUAUGUUGUGUUGUUAUGAUCGAGUUCAUUCUUUGGGCAAUGUUUCUUCCUAAUCCAGACCUGACUGAAUUGAUUCAACUAUUGUGUAUACAAUGCAAUUGGUAUUUGGGCCUCACCUUAUCAUAUGUGUGUGUGUGUGUUUACAAGAAACCCAAUUUGAUUUCUGAACACAAAAAGAAACUUUAUUGCUUUGAAAGAAUAAAAUUGGCUUCACCAUGAUAAUACUUAGGAAAAUGUGAUAGUAUUUACUUUCCAUUUUAUAGAUUGUGUUUAAAUGGUUGAAGGAAGUAUUUUAUACAUCAGAUAUGAGUUAAAUGUAGACAAUAGCGCAGGUUGAUAUUUACCUUCCAACCUGCGCUAGUAUUUUAUACUUAGGAAAAUGGGAUAGUAUUUACUUUCCAUUUUAUAGAUUGUGUUUAAAUGGUUGAAGGAAGUAUUUUAUACAUCAGAUAUGAGUUAAAUGUAGACAAUAGCGCAGGUUGAUAUUUACCUUCCAAUUUUUAUUUUUCUUCCUUUCCAUUUAAUUUUAUGUAUAGAUUAUCUUUUGGGCAUAUUCUUAUUUUGUUCUUCGUAAGGAAUUUAUGGAUGAUGAUACAAAGGUUUCAAAUUCUGUUUCUACUGCCUUAUUUUUGCAUAUGGUCAACUUUUAAGUUUCAGCUUGCUCCGAUUUGGUUUUCCUUUCUCCAAAUUCUGUUUCAACCUCUUAUGUGUUGUUCAUGUCGUUGAAAUACAUUACAACAAAUGUAGUUGAUAGAAACAAUUGGCGGAUCAUUGCGACGACAUCAACGGUCGAACAUUCAAUCAAGAACUCGCUUGAGUGCGGUCGUUCGUGUAAUGCAAAGGCUGCCACAAUUGUGGUGGAGGUGUUGGCUAUACGGCUGAGGGUGGAAGGCCUUGACCAGGGACAAGGAAGAGGGAUUCAUGUUGAUGAUGUAAAUAUGGAGGUUGAGAAAAAAGGUUUUAAGAAUCGUACCAAAGUUUGGGCCAUUGUUAAUGCACUUAAAAACAAUGGUAUCAAACUCGUUCUGGAAGAUAAUGUUAAAGACGAAAAUCCAUCCCACCCAAGUUUCUAAACAUUGCCUACUUACUCUUUUUAUUUCUUCUGUCUAUAUUUGUGAGUUCCUUUUGUAGUGAAAAGCAUUAUAAAUUUAAUGCUUUGGGGCCUUUUUGUAAAAUAGUUUCAUUUUGAUAAUUUUUUAUGAAGUAGCUUUCCCAAACACACUUCUUAUCCAGUUAAAUACACUCCGACUUUACUCAA
Long non-coding RNA from Humulus lupulus (European hop), 4144 nucleotides. RefSeq lists it as uncharacterized. The record is from RefSeq and is a predicted model, not a curated record. The transcript is spliced from 2 exons. NCBI's taxonomy places the organism in Eukaryota, Viridiplantae, Streptophyta, Magnoliopsida, Rosales, Cannabaceae.